GAUCCGUCGCCGUCGCUCCUCUCCAUCGAAACGGGGUUUUUCAAUUAUGGCCGACGAAUCGGAUCUGAAUGACUACCUCGACGAAGAAGAAGUGCCAAUAUCAAAGCUAGAGAAGAAGAAGAA
Molecule: long non-coding RNA, 123 nt
Organism: Tarenaya hassleriana
Lineage: Eukaryota; Viridiplantae; Streptophyta; Magnoliopsida; Brassicales; Cleomaceae
Exons: 2
Source: RefSeq, a predicted model, not a curated record